Molecule: small nucleolar RNA, 85 nt
Organism: Meriones unguiculatus (Mongolian gerbil)
Lineage: Eukaryota; Metazoa; Chordata; Mammalia; Rodentia; Muridae
Source: Ensembl
GGCAGAUGAUGUCUGUUCACGAUGGUCUUCAGAUGUCCCCAGGGGCACUGCUGAGACAGCCGCUUGGUAAAGCUGAUGCCAGAAG